This 371-nucleotide ribosomal RNA is filed under the name uncultured organism. RNAcentral describes it as "bacterial SSU rRNA". It matches the Rfam family "Bacterial small subunit ribosomal RNA", at positions 526 to 896 of the family's 1533-position model. The record is from RNAcentral.
CGAACCGUGCGAACGUUGUUCGGAAUCACUGGGCUUAAAGGGCGCGUAGGCGGGCGACCAAGUCGGGGGUGAAAUCUUUCGGCUCAACCGGAAAAUAGCUUUCGAUACUGGCCGUCUUGAGGGAGGUAGGGGCAUGCGGAACUUCCGGUGGAGCGGUGAAAUGCGUUGAUAUCGGAAGGAACUCCGGUGGCGAAAGCGGCGUGCUGGAUCUCUUCUGACGCUGAGGCGCGAAAGCUAGGGGAGCAAACGGGAUUAGAUACCCCGUUAGUCCUAGCCCUAAACGAUGGGUACUAGGUUGUGGACUAGACAUGGGUUCACAGCCGAAGCCAAAGUGCUAAGUACCCCGCCUGGGGAGUAUGGUCGCAAGGCUG